Molecule: ribosomal RNA, 818 nt
Filed under: uncultured bacterium
Lineage: Bacteria
Description: bacterial SSU rRNA
Rfam family: Bacterial small subunit ribosomal RNA
Source: RNAcentral
AGAGUUUGAUCCUGGCUCAGGAUGAACGCUAGCUACAGGCUUAACACAUGCAAGUCGAGGGGCAGCAUGGUCUUAGCUUGCUAAGGCUGAUGGCGACCGGCGCACGGGUGAGUAACACGUAUCCAACCUGCCGUCUACUCUUGGCCAGCCUUCUGAAAGGAAGAUUAAUCCAGGAUGGCAUCAUGAGUUCACAUGUCCGCAUGAUUAAAGGUAUUUUCCGGUAGACGAUGGGGAUGCGUUCCAUUAGAUAGUAGGCGGGGUAACGGCCCACCUAGUCAACGAUGGAUAGGGGUUCUGAGAGGAAGGUCCCCCACAUUGGAACUGAGACACGGUCCAAACUCCUACGGGAGGCAGCAGUGAGGAAUAUUGGUCAAUGGGCGCAGGCCUGAACCAGCCAAGUAGCGUGAAGGAUGAAGGCUCUAUGGGUCGUAAACUUCUUUUAUAUGGGAAUAAAGUAUUCCACGUGUGGAAUUUUGUAUGUACCAUAUGAAUAAGGAUCGGCUAACUCCGUGCCAGCAGCCGCGGUAAUACGGAGGAUCCGAGCGUUAUCCGGAUUUAUUGGGUUUAAAGGGAGCGUAGGUGGAUUGUUAAGUCAGUUGUGAAAGUUUGCGGCUCAACCGUAAAAUUGCAGUUGAAACUGGGAGUCUUGAGUACAGUAGAGGUGGGCGGAAUUCGUGGUGUAGCGGUGAAAUGCUUAGAUAUCACGAAGAACUCCGAUUGCGAAGGCAGCUCACUAGACUGUUACUGACACUGAUGCUCGAAAGUGUGGGUAUCAAACAGGAUUAGAUACCCUGGUAGUCCACACAGUAAACGAUGAA